GGGGGAGGUAUCUUAGUACUAAGCCCGUAUUUGUUUUUUCAGCUAAAGCCUAAAGUAUUGUUCUUUGCUGGGUUCUUUGAACGAUCGGAUGCGCUUUCGGUCGGGCUUGGUUUGUUUAAUCACGAGUUGCUGAUAGGUACGGUACGUACUAGGUACUAGGAGCGAUUUUGUCUGCUAAAGCACACCAGUUUCCCUCUGGCUGCUGAUACCUUUUCUGAUG
RNAcentral lists this long non-coding RNA (220 nucleotides) under Setaria viridis. RNAcentral describes it as "long non-coding RNA (SVIR_LNC002306)". The record is from RNAcentral. Lineage: Eukaryota; Viridiplantae; Streptophyta; Magnoliopsida; Poales; Poaceae.